Molecule: long non-coding RNA, 469 nt
Filed under: Homo sapiens (human)
Lineage: Eukaryota; Metazoa; Chordata; Mammalia; Primates; Hominidae
Description: non-protein coding lnc-LONP2-8:1
Source: RNAcentral
AGUGUUAUUUCUGUUUGGGCCCAUCUACCCUGGCCACGGCAUGAUGUUCAUCCGCAACGACUGAAAGGUGUUCAGAUUUUGUAAAUCUAAAUGUCAUAAAAACUUUAAAAAGAAGCACAAUCCUUGCAAAGUUAGGUGGACCAAAGCAUUCCGGAAAGCAGGUGGCAAAGAGCUUACACUGGAUAAUUCAUUUGAAUAUGAAAAACAUAGAAAUGAAACCAUCAAAUACCAGUGAGAGCUAUGGAAUAAAACUACUGAAGCAAUGAAGACAGUUGAAGAGAUCAAACAGAAACGCCAAGCUAAAUUUAUAAUGAACAGAUUGAAGAAAAAUAAGAGCUACAGAAAGUUCAGGAUAUCAAACAGGUCAAGCAAAACAUCCAUCUUAUCUGAGUUCCUCUUGCAGGCAAAGGGAAGCAGUUGGAAGAGAAAACAGUACAGCAGUUACAAGAGAAUGUGGACAUGGAAGAUG